CCCAAACCGAUCAUGUCCUAUCCACAAGAAGCCACAUCCCCUCAAAAAAUGUAUUGGCUUUAGGAAGAAGCCCCUACAAGAACGAAAGGAACUCCUAAAGACCUUUGGGGUAUGUUAUAGGUGCUGUGCUUCCACUGAUCACUUUGCCAAGGAAUGUAAAACCCCUAUCAAGUGCAUAGAGUGCGGUUCCCAGGACCAUGUACAAGCUCUCCAUCC
Molecule: non-coding RNA, 216 nt
Organism: Pelobates cultripes (western spadefoot toad)
Lineage: Eukaryota; Metazoa; Chordata; Amphibia; Anura; Pelobatidae
Source: the annotation of a GenBank genome assembly